RNAcentral lists this ribosomal RNA (444 nucleotides) under uncultured bacterium. RNAcentral describes it as "bacterial SSU rRNA". It matches the Rfam family "Bacterial small subunit ribosomal RNA", at positions 354 to 796 of the family's 1533-position model. The record is from RNAcentral.
GUGAGGAAUUUUCCGCAAUGGGCGAAAGCCUGACGGAGCAAUGCCGCGUGCAGGAAGACGGCCCUCUGGGUUGUAAACUGCUUUUAUCUGGGAAGAAAAAGGCCAUGCGUGGCAAAUUGCCGGUACCAGAUGAAUAAGCACCGGCUAACUCCGUGCCAGCAGCCGUGGUAAUACGGAGGGUGCGAGCGUUGUCCGGAUUUAUUGGGUUUAAAGGGUGCGUAGGCGGCUGAUUAAGUCAGCGGUGAAAGACUUCGGCUUAACCGGAGCAGUGCCGUUGAUACUGGUUGGCUUGAGUGUCGGAGGGGUACAUGGAAUUGAUGGUGUAGCGGUGAAAUGCAUAGAUACCAUCAGGAACACCGAUAGCGAAGGCAUUGUACUGGCCGACAACUGACGCUGAUGCACGAAAGUGUGGGGAUCGAACAGGAUUAGAUACCCCGGUAGUCC